AACGAACGCUGGCGGCAGGCCUAAAACAUGCAAGUCGAACGAACCGCAAGGUUAGUGGCGCACGGGUGAGUAACACGUGGGAAUGUGCCUCUGGGUACGGAACAACGUCGGGAAACUGACGCUAAUACCGUAUAAUGUCUACGGACCAAAGAUUUAUCGCCCAGAGAUCAGCCCGCGUCUGAUUAGCUAGUUGGUGAGGUAACGGCUCACCAAGGCGACGAUCAGUAGCUGGUCUGAGAGGAUGAUCAGCCACACUGGAACUGAGACACGGUCCAGACUCCUACGGGAGGCAGCAGUUAGGAAUAUUGGACAAUGGGGGAAACCCUGAUCCAGCCAUGCCGCGUGUGUGAAGAAGGCCUUAGGGUUGUAAAGCACUUUCGGCUGUGAAGAUAAUGACAGUAGCAGAAGAAGAAGCUCCGGCUAAAUUCGUGCCAGCCGCCGCAGUAA
RNAcentral lists this ribosomal RNA (447 nucleotides) under uncultured bacterium. RNAcentral describes it as "partial 16S ribosomal RNA". It matches the Rfam family "Bacterial small subunit ribosomal RNA", at positions 29 to 523 of the family's 1533-position model. The record is from RNAcentral.